GUCCAAAUUAGGUUGCGCUCUUAAGCAAUUGAGUGAAAUGAUAAUUUAAUUUUGAAAUUCCAUUCUCUAAACAUGUUUCCACUUAACCACUUUUGACUUUGAUGCAUGAGAAUUUAUGAGCAAGAUAUGUGACAUAGUUGAGAAUUGAAAAGUACUUCAAGAACACGAAGCAUGGCAUCAGAAACCAUACUUAUAUACAUAUGGAAAUAGUUCUGGGAAAGAUGGUGGACAUUAACAGUACGGAUAAAUGCUAGGCAAGAGGAAAUCAUGGAUUGAAAUUAUAGUUGCGGAUGUGGUUAUAUUGAGUUUAUCGCAAUUGCAGAAGAUAUAGUCAAUGUCAUCACAAUUCCAAUUGAAAUGCACUUGCCCAGACUCCUUCAAUAUCAAUGUUGCAACCGCUAUUACUUUUGCGGUACUGCUAUUUAAAACCAUGCAGGAUAUAAUAUAUCACAUUGAAUCUCAUUGUGAGACAUGAAUUCAUUCUUAAAGCAGGAAUUCAAGGUUUCUCAUAUCAUUCUUGUAUUCACUGAAUUUAAGUUCUUUAUCUAUAAUUCUUAAGUUCUCUUUUCACAUUUAAAGCUUUUCUGAUUUCUGUGAUUGAUAAAACCAAGAGAGAUACCAUUUCUUUGUUAAACUACUACAUGCUAUAUAUUGAUCAAAGUUCUUAACUCUUUGUUUGUCAUGUACCAUUUUGCAGGCAACAUAUUAGACACAACCAUUAAUUAAGAUCUAAAGUAUUUGAGACAAGAAUGGUAUUAUAAGUUUAUAAAUGUUACAUAUGGAAUUCAAGAGAAGUGCUGCUAAAAUAUGGUAGUGGGUGAUUUAAACUUAUCCCCAUUUGUAUGUCUCUAUACUUGUGAAUGAGUGAACUUACAUACCCAUCUUUGGUUAAAAAUGAAUGUGUUAGAGAGAAUAGCAAUAGUACCUUUUUCGAAAAUGAUGGUUUGGUUAUUGCCUUAAGUGAUUCUGAUUCUGUCAUGUGAAAUAAAAGACAUUUAAAAGUCCUAAGUAAAAGGG
Non-coding RNA from Lupinus albus (white lupine), 1017 nucleotides. Lineage: Eukaryota; Viridiplantae; Streptophyta; Magnoliopsida; Fabales; Fabaceae. The record is from the annotation of a GenBank genome assembly.